RNAcentral lists this RNase P RNA (421 nucleotides) under Candidatus Moraniibacteriota bacterium. Its description in RNAcentral is "RNase P RNA component class A". It matches the Rfam family "Bacterial RNase P class A". From Rfam's summary of the family: Ribonuclease P (RNase P) is a ubiquitous endoribonuclease, found in archaea, bacteria and eukarya as well as chloroplasts and mitochondria. Its best characterised activity is the generation of mature 5'-ends of tRNAs by cleaving the 5'-leader elements of precursor-tRNAs. Cellular RNase Ps are ribonucleoproteins. Lineage: Bacteria; Candidatus Moraniibacteriota. The record is from RNAcentral.
AGAGCAAGCCGUUCAGCCACGCGUCUUUGUUUAUUUUUUAAACAAAGAGUGAGGAAAGUCUGAACGCCCACACUUUUGUGUGUCGUAGUAAUGGAUAACGUCCAUCAAAUUAGCAGUAAUGUUAAUUUAGGGAAAGCGCCACAGAGACAAUACUAGCAGAAAUAUUUUUAAUAUUUUAAGCUAAAGGUGAAAAGUGCGUUAGUGUUUAUUGGUUUAUUAUUCGCUUUAUCAGCUGAAUAGCGAAACUAGUAAGCUAUAACGCUUCUUGCAUAGUGAUAUGCAAUGAUGGCAAGCCCUACCUGGCGCAAGGCCGUGUCUUAACUAUUAUAAGUUAAGGAGCGCCGCAAAGAUUUUAUCGGUAACGAUAAAACAAGAUAAAUGGCUGUUAAAACAGAAUUCAGCUUAUGAGCUUGCUCUGAUA